UGGGGAAUAUUGCACAAUGGGCGAAAGCCUGAUGCAGCAACGCCGCGUGAGUGAUGAAGGUCUUCGGAUUGUAAAGCUCUGUCUUUUGGGACGAUAAUGACGGUACCAAAGGAGGAAGCCACGGCUAACUACGUGCCAGCAGCCGCGGUAAUACGUAGGUGGCGAGCGUUGUCCGGAUUUACUGGGCGUAAAGGGUGCGUAGGCGGAUGUUUAAGUGAGAUGUGAAAUACCCGGGCUUAACUUGGGUGCUGCAUUUCAAACUGGAUAUCUAGAGUGCAGGAGAGGAGAAUGGAAUUCCUAGUGUAGCGGUGAAAUGCGUAGAGAUUAGGAAGAACACCAGUGGCGAAGGCGAUUCUCUGGACUGUAACUGACGCUGAGGCACGAAAGCGUGGGUAGCAAACAGGAUUAGAUACCCUGGUAGUCCACGCCGUAAACGAUGAGUACUAGGUGUAGGAGGUAUCGACCCCUUCUGUGCCGCAGUAAACACAUUAAGU
RNAcentral lists this ribosomal RNA (494 nucleotides) under uncultured bacterium. RNAcentral describes it as "partial 16S ribosomal RNA". It matches the Rfam family "Bacterial small subunit ribosomal RNA", at positions 355 to 865 of the family's 1533-position model. The record is from RNAcentral.